CCUACGGGUGGCAGCAGUGAGGAAUAUUGGUCAAUGGACGGGAGUCUGAACCAGCCAAGUAGCGUGAAGGAUGACUGCCCUAUGGGUUGUAAACUUCUUUUAUAUGGGAAUAAAAUGUUCCACGUGUGGGAUUUUGUAUGUACCAUAUGAAUAAGGAUCGGCUAACUCCGUGCCAGCAGCCGCGGUAAUACGGAGGAUCCGGGCGUUAUCCGGAUUUAUUGGGUUUAAAGGGAGCGUAGGUGGAUUGUUAAGUCAGUUGUGAAAGUUUGCGGCUCAACCGUAAAAUUGCAGUUGAAACUGGCAGUCUUGAGUACAGUAGAGGUGGGCGGAAUUCGUGGUGUAGCGGUGAAAUGCUUAGAUAUCACGAAGAACUCCGAUUGCGAAGGCAGCUUACUGGACUGCAACUGACACUGAGGCUCGAAAGUGUGGGUAUCAAACAGGAUUAGAUACCCCUGUAGUC
RNAcentral lists this ribosomal RNA (460 nucleotides) under uncultured bacterium. RNAcentral describes it as "partial 16S ribosomal RNA". It matches the Rfam family "Bacterial small subunit ribosomal RNA", at positions 338 to 795 of the family's 1533-position model. The record is from RNAcentral.